GAAAGGGAGGCUGGUGGCCAGGCUGGGACCCUGGGUGCAGAGACGUGAUUAGUUGAUGGCUCUGAAGGUGAGGAGGGGGAACAUGCUGGGCCUCAAUAUGAAGCUGUAGACCAUCUUUAUGUCCUCUUGAGUUAGUGUCUCCACCAGGAAGUGCUUCAGCACCUAGGACAGAGGCUGGGUUUCCAUCUGGCCUGGUCAGUAGCCCAUGGACCUGGGGCAGCUUCCUCCCAUCGUCCCAGGUGCAACAAUUAUGCUGAAGGGGGAGCAGCAGCCUGGGCCCCAACCUAUCCCACUUCUGACCAGCCCCACCUUACGGACCAGGCCCAGACUGAAUCCUGCCCAGGUCUUGCCCAAGCCCCAUUAUUCUGUACAGGCUCCACCCCACUCCCCUAGUCCCCAUUUCAAUGUUUAGAAGCAGCCUCACCCAGAUCCUACCCUGUCUUGCUCAGCACAGAUCCUCCCUGGUCACGCCGACCUCAACCAACCAAGGCCCCAUCCACUGUUCCCAGGUGUCAAUCACACCAUGCAAGCCCCG
This 535-nucleotide long non-coding RNA is filed under the name Homo sapiens (human). RNAcentral describes it as "HSALNT0145219". The record is from RNAcentral. Lineage: Eukaryota; Metazoa; Chordata; Mammalia; Primates; Hominidae.